GAUGAACGCUGGCGGCGUGCCUAAUACAUGCAAGUCGAGCGAACAGAUAAGGAGCUUGCUCCUUUGACGUUAGCGGCGGACGGGUGAGUAACACGUGGGUAACCUACCUAUAAGACUGGAAUAACUCCGGGAAACCGGGGCUAAUGCCGGAUAACAUUUAGAACCGCAGGGUUCUAAAGUGAAAGAUGGUUUUGCUAUCACUUAUAGAUGGACCCGCGCCGUAUUAGCUAGUUGGUAAGGUAACGGCUUACCAAGGCAACGAUACGUAGCCGACCUGAGAGGGUGAUCGGCCACACUGGAACUGAGACACGGUCCAGACUCCUACGGGAGGCAGCAGUGGGGAAUCUUCCGCAAUGGGCGAAAGCCUGACGGAGCAACGCCGCGUGAGUGAUGAAGGUCUUCGGAUCGUAAAGCUCUUUUAUUAGGGAAGAACAAAUGUGUAAGUAACUGUGCACGUCUUGACGGUACCUAAUCAGAAAGCCACGGCUAACUACGUG
RNAcentral lists this ribosomal RNA (497 nucleotides) under uncultured bacterium. RNAcentral describes it as "partial 16S ribosomal RNA". It matches the Rfam family "Bacterial small subunit ribosomal RNA", at positions 28 to 507 of the family's 1533-position model. The record is from RNAcentral.